Cygnus olor (mute swan) is the source of this 1335-nucleotide long non-coding RNA. RefSeq lists it as uncharacterized. Lineage: Eukaryota; Metazoa; Chordata; Aves; Anseriformes; Anatidae. The transcript has 6 exons. The record is from RefSeq and is a predicted model, not a curated record.
GCUGGCUAAUUGGAAAGGGAACAGAAGGAGCAUACUGGCUAAGGGAGCAUAGCCCUUUAAGACAUUGAUGGUGUGACUGACUUGUUAGGCUAACAGUUGAGGCACUCACCUGGGAAAAUAAAAACAGAAGAAUGUUCAGGCAAGCAGAGAUCUCAGCUGAGAGAAAGCAAUUCACUGAGUCUGUUGCUAGAGUAUCUGCAUGAUUCACAGUUCCUGCUGCAUAAAGGAGGAGCUUCGUCUUCCCUGAGCAUCCAACUCACCCUUGAUAUUCUGUUUCAAGAAGGCUUCCAGAUAUCGCAGGAAGAGAACAGAGCCUCUGGAAAGGCCAGGAGGAAUGACCUGAAAACUAAGGCACAGGUUCUAACUUAAGUGGAAGUUUGUCUUGCAGAGCGGGUAUGCCCGAUGUUAGCUAUUUUAGAGUCCCACUGCACAUGUAUACUCCUGAACUGUUAAGUUCUAUGUAGAUGAAUGUUAAAUGAUUUUAAGUGUGUUGAAUUUAGAAGUUAAACAGCAUUGUGUGCAUUACUAAGGAGGGAAAAAAGCAUAUGAGUUGAUAUGCUGUAAAACUGAAAUAAAUACUUUAUAAAAUAAGUAUUUUUCAUGAGCCCUCAUCAGCUGUUGAUGUUUAGCUUAUAUGGUGCUCUUGCAUACCCCCAUUAAUUUUAUAACAUUGGGACUGAGUUAAAAGGAAUCAGAAUGUGGCUUUUUUGUUGUUCUCUGUUUGUUUUUAACCUCUGAUGCUCUCUAGAAGUGUGAUGGUAGAUGAGGCACCCACAUGUGAGAUGGGUUUAAAUUAACUAGUCUGUGUAUGGCUAAUGCAUUAACUGUGAUGUUAGAGGCCUACUUUGAGUGUCUGAAUAAACAUACUGAUGAUUAGCUUUUGUGAAGCUCUGUAGAAUUGUUGUUGCUGUGCCCUUUCUCUAAAGCGGGGUGCCAAACUGCACGUUGAAGAAUCUGGCUAAAUGCCUGAGAUGAAGGGAUAAUGUUUCCAUCAUACUUGGUAUGCUCUAUUCAGAGGAAGCGAGAAUGCGGGCACAACUUGUAUUUAUAUCCGUAGCUAUGUUGGGAGUGCAGAAGCAUGAAAAUAAGUUUCAACCACGAUGAGGAUCUGCCUCAAGGACGAAUGCUCCAAAUUCUGCCUUGAUUUCCAUUCCCUGAAACCAUCUUUGGCAGUCAAGAGCAGCAUUUAGAUUAUGCUUUCACUGAAGAACUAGUUAAAUAUUAAAUGCAAAGGAGUGAUGCAAUAAAAUACUCCUUGGAGUAGACCCACAAACCCAGACUUCCUCCUAAAUCUGUGUUAUUCGAGCAUCCAGGAAAUGCAGUUUGCUCUAUCAG